RNAcentral lists this ribosomal RNA (756 nucleotides) under uncultured bacterium. RNAcentral describes it as "bacterial SSU rRNA". It matches the Rfam family "Bacterial small subunit ribosomal RNA", at positions 8 to 796 of the family's 1533-position model. The record is from RNAcentral.
AGAGUUUGAUCAUGGCUCAGAAUCAACGCUGGCGGCGCGCUUAACACAUGCAAGUCGCACGAGAAAGGGGAGCAAUCCCUGAGUAAAGUGGCGUACGGGUGAGUAACACGUGGAUCAUCUACCUUUUAGUGGGGAAUACCCCCGGGAAACUGGGGACAAUACCGCAUAAGCUCGUGAGAGGAAAGCAGCAAUGCGCUGAAAGAGGAGUCCGCGGCUGAUUAGCUAGUUGGUGAGGUAACGGCCCACCAAGGCGAAGAUCGGUAGCCGGCCUGAGAGGGCACACGGCCACACUGGCACUGAAAUACGGGCCAGACUCCUACGGGAGGCAGCAGUGGGGAAUCUUGCACAAUGGAGGAAACUCUGAUGCAGCGACGCCGCGUGAACGAUGAAGCCCUUCGGGGUGUAAAGUUCUUUCGACGGGAACGAUAAUGACGGUACCCGAAGAAGAAGCUGCGGCUAACUACGUGCCAGCAGCCGCGGUAAUACGUAGGCAGCAAGCGUUGUUCGGAAUUACUGGGCGUAAAGAGUGCGUAGGCGGUGCUCUAAGUCUGUUGUGAAAUCUCCCGGCUUAACUGGGAGGGUGCGGCGGAAACUGGAGUGCUUGAGGGUGGGAGAGGUAAGCGGAAUUCCUGGUGUAGCGGUGAAAUGCGUAGAUAUCAGGAGGAACACCUGUGGUGUAGACAGCUUACUGGACCACUUCUGACGCUGAGGCACGAAAGCGUGGGUAGCAAACAGGAUUAGAUACCCUAGUAGUCC